UGAUUUUUCCAUACCACCCUGAGAAUGCUCUAUCUCGUCUGAUCUCGGAAGCUAAGCAGGGUCGGGCCUGGUUAGUACUUGGAUGGGAGAGGGGUUAAUAGAGAGU
Molecule: ribosomal RNA, 106 nt
Filed under: Mesitornis unicolor (brown roatelo)
Lineage: Eukaryota; Metazoa; Chordata; Aves; Mesitornithiformes; Mesitornithidae
Source: RNAcentral